ACCUGGCUGGCUCAGUUGGUAGAGUGUGUGACUCUUGAUCUUAGGGUUGUGAGUUCGAGCCCCAUGUUGGCUG
RNAcentral lists this transfer RNA (73 nucleotides) under Felis catus (domestic cat). It matches the Rfam family "tRNA". From Rfam's summary of the family: Transfer RNA (tRNA) molecules are approximately 80 nucleotides in length. Their secondary structure includes four short double-helical elements and three loops (D, anti-codon, and T loops). The record is from Rfam by way of RNAcentral. Lineage: Eukaryota; Metazoa; Chordata; Mammalia; Carnivora; Felidae.